GUUGUUGUUUCAUUUAUGGUAGCCUGAGUAGUUAAAUGUUAUGGAAACCCUAUUGUGACGUAAUCGGGUGCAUGAUUCUGGGAAAUUUUGAAUCAUGGGAUGUUUUGUAAGCGUUUUUGAGGUGUGUCUUAAAACCGUUUUGAUGGAUUUGAAUGGGUUUGUAGGAAGAAAGUUUACGAUGGUCACUAUGUAAAGCGUUCGAUCAGAAAGAGUACCUGGUUUUAAAAAAGUCAUUUGAAUAUGAUUGAUAUUUUGAUUUUUACGUGCGUGUACGAAGUGAACUCGAAAAUCAUGGUAAGUGAAUAAUUCUUUUUACCCAAGGUGGUAGUAAAAAUGCAAUUAUGAACUUUAUGUAAGAAAAUCAAAUGAAUUGGAAAAUGUAGAAUAUCCAAAUAAGCACUUGUCAAAAAGCAAAGUAUCUUAAGAACAUCUUUAAGAAAAUUCUUGCAUCAAAACAAAAGCUCAGUGGUUGUUUUUAGGCAAUAAAUAAAAUGAAGAAAUAAGGAAAAUUUUGAAGUCAAAUUUAAAUACUGUUUGGCUCAGCAGUAUCAUAAGCAAAGAUGAAGUCAUAUCAGAUGUCAUCUUAAGGAUAGUUAAAAUAACAAAAGAAUAUGGAUACCAAAAAUCUUCAGUGACUGAAGAACCAUCACUCACUGAAGAGAAAAAUAUGGGUUAAAGAUUUGUAUAGAACUAAUUUUGGUGCAUAUUAUUUUUCUGAAAGUGUUGAAGAGGGCAUGUUUAAAGAUGUUUAUAUCAGUUUUGAUAUUUGUAACUUAGAUUAAUAGGAUUAUUCAUAUGCCUUCUACCAGAAAUGAUUUCAUCUUUCUUCUCCAAAAAAGAAACUUAUUUGAACAAAAGGAGCAGAGACUGAAUAAUUGGGUUGUUAGAUGUAAAGAUGAUUAAUAUCGAUAAAUUGAAGCCUCAUGUCAUUAGUAAAUAUGUUACACCGAGAUGAUUUUAAAAUGUUAUCUGAAAAGCCUCCUUGCUGCAUACGAAACUAACUCGACAUUGUGGAUGAAUUCUUCAUUGUUACUAGAAAAAAUAAAGGAAUUGGAUAAAAAUUUCAAGAUGAGAAGUCACUGAUAUUGAGAAUAGCUAUAAUGCUUAUACUGAAAUCACAGAAACUAAAAACAGUUGACUAAUUGUAAUAUCUCUGAAUGUCUGCAACCAUGAUUGUAAUUUCUUUGAAUGUCUGCAGUUUUGAUUGUCUCCACUAGUUCUGCAGCCUCUGAACCAAAAAAUUAUUGUGAAUUUCAAGUAUAAUUUUUUUUAAGUGUUUGGUCAAAGAAUGGAUCAAAAUUACUGAUGGCAAAUAUGAGUUCAAUUCUUCAGUUCUCAGUACAUUUUCAGGAGUUGGAGUAAUAUCUCAGCAAAAGUUAUUAGAAAUUGCUUCACACAUACUGAAUUUUUAGUUGGGAGGCUAUGCACUAGAAGCUCAUGAUAAGACUGAUGUUAGUGUUUUUCUUAUGUUUUUAGAGGAUAAAGUUUCUGGAAGAAGUGACCAAGUGGAAAAAACUAUGCAAAUAGAUGAUAGCUCUUAUCUCAAUGAUGAAAAUUUAUUUAUUUCAGGCAAGAUGUAGCAAACUUCAACAAAAUUAAUAGUGCUAAUAGUUAUCAUGGAACUUCCAAAAGCGAUUGAUAAAAAGGUUUCUUAGAAAGCACAAACCGAAAAGGAUACUUCAUUGAACUUGGAAAUUUUAAAAAUGUUGUCUGUUUAGGAAACAACACGAAAAAAAUCAAGAUUGUUGCAUCAGAUCAAAUGCAGAAUUUUCAGCAGUUAUUCUUGGAAAUAGUCAUGAUGUAAUUUCAAAUUAUUUUCCUGUGCAGUAAUUUGGCAUGAAAAUCUGAUGCUACUAGAAAAAGGAAAUAGACUGAAUUCAUUUUGGGCCCACACAGCUAAAACACAGGAAGAUUUCCGAAAACGAGAUAACCAUGUUAAAAAACCCUGCCAUUUACGAGAAGUGGCGAAAUUUCACCUGGAUUCUUUUAAUUAUAUGAUAAAAGAAGCGUUGGCUGAUGCCUGUAUGAUUGUUGCCUCAGAUAGUGCUGCCAAAAAAAAAAAAAAAAAAGGGAAGCCAGGCUCCAUUGAAAUUAGAAAGAAAUCAUGGAUAAACAUAAGCAUGGUGUAAAAGUGAUGGAAUUGGUGAAGACAUAUGUUCGACAUCGACGAUCUGUGCUAUUCUGAAAAAGAAGGAAGAAAUUGAGAAACUUG
This is an unclassified non-coding RNA of Stegodyphus dumicola, 2212 nucleotides long. The record is from RefSeq and is a predicted model, not a curated record. Lineage: Eukaryota; Metazoa; Arthropoda; Arachnida; Araneae; Eresidae.